UUAAUGGCAACUUGGCAAGCAUCCAAAGAUCAAGCACAACAAUGGUAAUACGAGGAUCUAAGAAAUCAAAAUAUCUAUUAACCCUUUCGAGAGAACAGGCAACAAGUAAAAAACCGGACAAAGUGAGAUAAGCGACAAAUAUAAUAGUAAUUCCUUUGGAAUUUCAAUUACAUCACAUGCAGAGAGAAAGAAACAUUCACAGUUGCUGCUUUGCCUUCUUCCGUGCCAAAAAACGUUCUUUAGCUGCAGCAAGUGCAUCCUCAUUUCGCUUAUGAUGGUCUUGCUUUGGUUGAUUAGCCGAUGGUUGUUCAGAUGAAGAUUUUUCUUGUACCAAUGUGUCCGAAACUUGUUCAUCAGGAACUGGUUUAAGAUCUAAGGACUCGGAAUUUCUCCUAGGAGGAACAGAAGGAUGCCUCUCUUUCACCGUGGAGCUAGAAGACUCCAUAUCCAUAACUGACUUUGAGUCUUGUGAAGGAUGAACUCUUUCAGAUGUACCAGCUGACACCUUAUCAUCUAAUUUCUCUGGCUUCCUGAGGUCAGUCUGUUUCUCUUGCUUCCUUGACUCUCUGUCUUUCGCACCAUAUGCAACAUUUUUUCCAAGAUUGAAGUAGAACUCGCUCAAAUCACUUUUUUUAGUAACCUUUUCAACAAAAUAACAGAAAUACAACAUUACUAACUGUGCACCUAAUUUUUCUUAUCAACAAAGACAAACACAUGCUCUAUCAGACAAGUUCAGAACAAUAUGGUUAGCAGAAAAUCAUUAUCUACAAAUACCUUUCAUUUGAUUGAUUUUAAAGACAUGCUCUAUCAAAACAAGUUUUAAAGAAUAUGGUCAGCAGAAAAUCAUUAUCUAUACAUGCAUUUCAUUUGAUUAAAUUUAAAGCACAUCAAGGUGAAGUACAGAGAGGAAACUUAAGAAAUGAUUUGCUGGCCAACUAAAUUCUACAAUGCUAUGAUUUGCUCACAUCCUUUUCUCAAUUACUAAGCUCAAACUUGCUAGUAUAUUGACCAAAAUUUAAUAACCUAAAGUUGUUUCACGAUCAAGGGUGAGGGUGUUAGAACUUAGAAGACCCAACUUUUUCAUUAAUAAACUAAAAUAAUUAACUGUGACCUACAUAUGUUCAUUGAGAAGUUGCUUCCAUUUCAAUAGGAACCUAAAGGACAAGGGGAAGUGCUACUCGUACAAGACUUCACAGAUCUUCACAAUGUUUGGGUCAAGAUCACGAAUUUAGGAAGAACACAAAGCUAAAACUUUACCUGCACAUUUUAUAAAUGAAAAUUUAGGGAUAAUAGGUGAUCAAGUAGACUGAAUUGAACAUGUAGCUCAACUUUUGGAUAUUAAACUAAGUCAAAUAUACGAUGAUAAACUGUUUAAGCCAAAAGAAAAUCCAUGAAAAUUUAACAAACGAUUUUCAGAAACAUACACAUAGAAAAAAUAAAUGACAAUAAAAAAAUAAAAUGACCAAGUUGAAAUAUUAGAAUCAGUGAAUCAUAAAAAUAGUUUAUAGCAAUACCACUUGAUACAUCUUAUCAUACUUUCAUUACAUAUGUUAAAAGAAUUUUAUUUUUUUAAAAAAGGUACAGAAAAAAAAAA
Molecule: unclassified non-coding RNA, 1594 nt
Filed under: Hevea brasiliensis (rubber tree)
Lineage: Eukaryota; Viridiplantae; Streptophyta; Magnoliopsida; Malpighiales; Euphorbiaceae
Source: RNAcentral